Long non-coding RNA from Nicotiana tabacum (common tobacco), 1673 nucleotides. RefSeq lists it as uncharacterized. Lineage: Eukaryota; Viridiplantae; Streptophyta; Magnoliopsida; Solanales; Solanaceae. The record is from RefSeq and is a predicted model, not a curated record.
ACAUCCAAACUCCCCUCUCUCUUUUCUUUUUGCCUUUGGAUUCAAGCAUCCAUCUUCUAAAUCCUCUGUUGGCCGAAUUUCUUCCAAAUCUUUUAGAUUUACUUUGUCACUUUCACUCUCUCUAUAUCUAUUCAAAUACCUCUUCAUUGGACCACAAUAAUCAUCAAACCCUAGAGUUCCCAAAGCCAAAAACAUGGUCGUUGUUCACAAUUUUCCGUCGGUGUUUCCAACACUUCUCCGAAGCUUUGCAGGUUACAAAUCCAAUGAACUCAGAUACCCAUUUCUUCAAGGACAGUUACUAGCCUUCCCCAAAUUCCCAAAUUCUAAAAUCAUAUUUGUGCUCGAAUCAGAGAAGCCCAAAAUCACCAUAGCCUGGAAUUUUCCAUACUGAGUUUGAUACUUGAAGCCUUUUUUGCCUGCAAAUACUUGGUUUUUCUUAAGGUUUGGAUCUUGAUCGCUAUAAUAGCAAUCUGGUUUGUUCUCCUUUCCCACUCUAUUUCUUCUGCUUUGAGUUUUACUGAUUGAAAAUUUGAUUUUGACUUGCGGAUUAGAUGCACUUUUAGUAUAUCGAGUGGUUAGAAUUGCAAAUUUGGCUAUGGAGUUGAAUGAAUGAUGCUUCAAUUGUGAUUUUCUUGUUUGCUUUGAUUUGAAUAGGUCAAAUGGUUGUAUUCCUUGUAAUUUGUCAACGGCUAAUGUAACAAGACUCAUUAUUUGGUAGCUUCAAGUGAUGUUAAUUUAACAAACUUACUGAUUUUGUAUGUGUACUGGUCCCUAUAAUAAUUUUAUAAUGUUAAAAACAAAUCAGUAUUAACGCACUAAUAGAAAUAUGGAGCGAGAUUUAAUUUGUGUGUAAUCAGAUUACAAAAUAUAAUCAAUUAACUAGGCUUAUUUCCAAAGUAGCAGCUGUUUUUACUUAACUUGUAGUAAGAAUAACAUCAACUUACAUCAAGGGAUAGAUUGAUCAACAAUGAAAUGGGCAAAGAAACUUUGCAAUAGUUUUCUUCUUAAAUGUUCACUUGAAUUAGUUCCAAGACUCCAUUUUUCAAAGAAUUCAAUUAAAGUGAAGAUGGCAGUCAUUCAGUUGAUGCUUUUGCAUCAGUCAUGGGACCUAAAUAUCUAGGUCGCGUGAGAUUGUAUGGACAAGGGAUUACCAAGACUGUGUUAAAAGGGCAAAAAGGGAAUCUUGGAUAUUCUUUAGAUUCUACUGAUGAGAGGAAGCAGCAGAAAAUGGAGGAAAUAGAAGAGAGGAUGCAACAAAGAAUGCAUGAAAAGUUGAACAAACAAAAAGAUAAUAUGGAACAAAAUAUUACAACGAACGUCAUCGUACGACUUCAACGUCUGAACCCAGAUUUGCGACUUGAUCCUGACAUGUUAAGGUUCAGAGCACAUUCACCUGUAGAAGCUUCUUCUGCACAACAAGCUGUUGUUCAACUAAACAGUUGACCAUCUGUUGGUGGUAACAAUCAAGGUGGAGUAGAUCAAGAAAUGGAUGAUGAAUACAAUGAAGAACUAGACCUUACUUGAGAUGAAUUUUGAAUUGUUAUAUAUGAAUGUUCUAGGAAUCUUUUGUUACCAACAUUUUUGAAACUUAUUUACUCUCUUGAAAUGUACUAAACUUAUGCACUCAUGGGGUAGAACGUUUGCUUUAUGAAUAUUAUUUGCUUGAUAGAUAA